AUUGAACGCUGGCGGCAGGCCUAACACAUGCAAGUCGAACGAGUGGCGGACGGGUGAGUAAUGUCUGGGAAACUGCCCGAUGGAGGGGGAUAACUACUGGAAACGGUAGCUAAUACCGCAUACCAUCGGAUGUGCCCAGAUGGGAUUAGCUAGUAGGUGGGAUGACGGCUCACCUAGUCGACGAACCCUAGCUGUUCUGAGAGGAAGACCAGCAACACGGGAAUUGAGACACGGUCAAGACUCCUCCGGGAGGCAGCAGUGGGGAAUAUUGCACAAUGGGCGCAAGCCUGAUGAAGCCAUGCCGCGGGUAUGAAGAAGGCCUUCGGGUUGUAAUGUACUUUCAGCGAGGAGGCGUUACUCGCAGAAGAAGCACCGGCUAACUCCGUGCCAGCAGCCGCGGUAAUAC
RNAcentral lists this ribosomal RNA (406 nucleotides) under uncultured bacterium. RNAcentral's name for it is "partial 16S ribosomal RNA". It matches the Rfam family "Bacterial small subunit ribosomal RNA", at positions 30 to 526 of the family's 1533-position model. The record is from RNAcentral.